GUAGGGACCACACGUUUCUCCUUAUUCCAUAUGUAGCUCUAUGAGCAAACUAGUGCAGAGCUAAUUUAUACCCAUAAUAACUCACACCUUUUUUUUCCUUUCUUGCUCUCCAAAGCUCAUAGAGCUACAUAUAUGUAGCUCCUUAUUCCUUUCGUCUCCGGUGAUCCGGUCGGAUUUCAUUUGAGGUCUUGUUCGCAGUUUUGUCGGUGUCUAAGUUUCAAAGUCAUCGAUGAAUCAAAGUCCAAAUUCACUUUUAAGAUUUUGAUCAUUUGGAGGUCGAGGAUAGAGGAAAAGGCAUUUGAAAGGUUGAAGCCUAAUCUAGAGAAGGUACUGAGACAUGUACUAUCAAUGGUCAUACGGGCGCGUAGCUGCAUUUCCACAGAGACUUAGUGGUGAGCUGCUUGCCUUGCUUCGAUCUGCAGCAGCGGAGCCUCCCUCUACUUUGUUUAUUAUUUCUGUCUAUUAUACUUCAGACAAUAGUUGUAUUAGUUUUGUAUAAAUCUCUAGAUUGCUCAUACACUUGUGGCACCGAGUUUUGGGGGCUUCUAGCAUUUAUGUACUGUGGUACUUAUUAUUACUAUCACUAUGUUUUAUA
Long non-coding RNA from Nicotiana tabacum (common tobacco), 595 nucleotides. RefSeq lists it as uncharacterized. NCBI's taxonomy places the organism in Eukaryota, Viridiplantae, Streptophyta, Magnoliopsida, Solanales, Solanaceae. The record is from RefSeq and is a predicted model, not a curated record.